Molecule: ribosomal RNA, 254 nt
Filed under: uncultured bacterium
Lineage: Bacteria
Description: partial 16S ribosomal RNA
Rfam family: Bacterial small subunit ribosomal RNA
Source: RNAcentral
UACGGGGGGAGCAAGCGUUGUUCGGAUUUACUGGGCGUAAAGGGCGCGUAGGCGGUCAGCACAAGUCAGUUGUGAAAUCUCCGGGCUUAACUCGGAAAGGUCAACUGAUACUGUGCGACUAGAGUGCAGAAGGGGCAACUGGAAUUCUCGGUGUAGCGGUGAAAUGCGUAGAUAUCGAGAGGGACACCUGCGGCGAAGGCGGGUUGCUGGGCUGACACUGACGCUGAGGCGCGAAAGCCAGGGGAGCGAACGGG